UCAGAGCAGCAUGGUACGGUUCUCGUUAGAUCACCGAAGUCAAGCAUCAUUGGGCGCGGUCAGUACUUGGCUGGGUGACCACCUGGGAACACGGCGUGCCGUU
Molecule: non-coding RNA, 103 nt
Organism: Caerostris darwini
Lineage: Eukaryota; Metazoa; Arthropoda; Arachnida; Araneae; Araneidae
Source: the annotation of a GenBank genome assembly